Molecule: long non-coding RNA, 522 nt
Organism: Perognathus longimembris pacificus (Pacific pocket mouse)
Lineage: Eukaryota; Metazoa; Chordata; Mammalia; Rodentia; Heteromyidae
Exons: 3
Source: RefSeq, a predicted model, not a curated record
ACAAUGUGUGUACUGUAACUGAUGUGAAAUAUGAUGAAUACAUUAUAGUUUUUGCCAAGAAUGAGAAGCAUUUCCUAUUGGCUGAACUCUAUGGUAAAGUAUUUGCAUGAUGAUACUUACCUACGGGUGGAAGGGCAGGAAACAAAGGAAUCUUACAUAUAAAAUGGUCUUCCCAAGGAUCUCUGGGCCAUCUCUCCCCCACUGAAGACAGAUUUACCUGUGGUCCUCCCCCAGGCUCAGUGAUGGGAUGAUGAUAAAAUCUCCCAGCAUGUCAGGAAGAUACCCUACUGAUGUCAAAUUCUUCCUGAGUACCAAGCUGUCGCCACCCUCCCAAAUCCCUGCUCCUUCAUUCCUCUCUAUAACCAAUUCCCAAGGCACUCUGGUUACUGUCAUUGUGUUUCCAGGUCGACAGCGGGAUGUGAGAACAGAAAUUAGGGAAAAGUUUGUGGACUUUUGUGCAAAACUUGAAAUUCCCGAGGAAAAUAUAGUGGACCUGACAAAAGUUGAAAAUCCUUGUCUUCA